UAUAUAUUACCUUCAUUUUGACAUGACACUCACGAAACACGAACCCUUUCUUCUAGAAGGAAUGGAUUUCGUUCAAAGCGCAAAAAAUACACCUUGCCAUAUCUAUGAUGAGCCCGCAAAGUGUGGCAACGGGAGGAAGAAGUAGUGGUGAAGGUGGGGGCACAGAGGCUAUCUUACACCGCAAAUGCCUUCACGAACCAGCCAACAUGCAUGGAGCUUAACUCACUCCGUCUUAGGCUUGCAGCUAACACAAUAUACAACACACUUGCAGGGAUGCAGCUCUAGAUUCAACUCACUUAACGUUGGGGUUUAGAAUAACCUCAUAGGGAUCGAGGAUCACGCAUGAGCAUGGCCUCUUUUGCCCCCGUGCCCAUCCCCCAAUGAGUCCGUGACUCCUCUAUCUCGGCCACACGUACAACAAGGCUUCAAUUCCCU
Molecule: long non-coding RNA, 435 nt
Filed under: Panicum hallii
Lineage: Eukaryota; Viridiplantae; Streptophyta; Magnoliopsida; Poales; Poaceae
Description: long non-coding RNA (PHAL_LNC000253)
Source: RNAcentral